This is a non-coding RNA of Jatropha curcas, 283 nucleotides long. Lineage: Eukaryota; Viridiplantae; Streptophyta; Magnoliopsida; Malpighiales; Euphorbiaceae. The record is from RefSeq and is a predicted model, not a curated record.
CCACUCGUUUUGUAACAAGUAAAGAAUUUGGUAAUAUAAAGCAUUCUAUCUAUCAACUCUAUGAUAAUGUCAAUUCAAAAGUUCUUUUAAAAAAUAAGAAAGUAGAAAGAAAGCAAACAAUAAUCAUGAUUUUGGUUUGACUCUAAACUAUCAAGUGCAGAUGUUUUGGAUUGUAGGUCUAUUGAUUGGAUUAUUCUCAAGGUCAUAAAUAACAGAUAGGCUAUAAAAACAUAAUUUUAUGUAAGCAAUUCUUCAUAAACAAAAUAUAAAAAAAAAAAAAAAA